Molecule: unclassified non-coding RNA, 391 nt
Filed under: soil metagenome
Description: partial contains 5.8S ribosomal RNA, internal transcribed spacer 2, and large subunit ribosomal RNA
Rfam family: 5.8S ribosomal RNA (bases 1-122)
Source: RNAcentral
GAUGAAGAACGUAGCGAAAUGCGAUACUUGGUGUGAAUUGCAGAAUCCCGUGAACCAUCGAGUCUUUGAACGCAAGUUGCGCCCGAAGCCAUUAGGCCGAGGGCACGCCUGCCUGGGCGUCACACGUCGUUGCCCCCCCAUCUACUCCUUCGGGAUUGCGGGGGGCGGAUGAUGGCCUCCCGUGCGCCUCGCCGCGCGGUUGGCAUAAAUGCCAAGUCCUCGGCGACGCACGCCACGACAAUCGGUGGUUGCGAAACCUCGGUUGCCCGUCGUGUGCGGUCGUCGCGCAUCGAGGGCUCGAAAAAAUUGCCGGGCUCCGGCUCGGCUUUCAACGCGACCCCAGGUCAGGCGGGGUUACCUGCUGAAUUUAAGCAUAUCAAUAAGCGGAGGA